Molecule: regulatory RNA element, 56 nt
Rfam family: Ribosomal protein L13 leader
About the family: This family is a putative r-protein leader autoregulatory structure found in B. subtilis and other low-GC Gram-positive bacteria. It is located in the 5' untranslated regions of mRNAs encoding the L13-S9 (rplM-rpsI) ribosomal protein operon.
Source: Rfam
GGUAUUGUUUACCCCACGAUAGGCCCCGGAAAACUUAUUGAGUGUGUAAACAGACA